UACGGAGGGUGCAAGCGUUAAUCGGAAUUACUGGGCGUAAAGGGUGCGUAGGUGGUUUGAUAAGUUAGUUGUGAAAUUCCUGGGCUCAACCUGGGCACUGCAACUAAGACUGUUGAACUCGAGUAUGGGAGAGGGUAGUGGAAUUUCCGGUGUAGCGGUGAAAUGCGUAGAGAUCGGAAGGAACACCAGUGGCGAAGGCGGCUACCUGGCCUAAUACUGACACUGAGGCACGAAAGCGUGGGGAGCAAACAGG
RNAcentral lists this ribosomal RNA (253 nucleotides) under uncultured bacterium. RNAcentral's name for it is "partial 16S ribosomal RNA". It matches the Rfam family "Bacterial small subunit ribosomal RNA", at positions 524 to 776 of the family's 1533-position model. The record is from RNAcentral.